CAGUCGAACGGAGAUAUCAUUUUCGAAGCGAUUAGUUUACUAAGAGCGGAGAUGUUGCUAUCUUAGUGGCGGACGGGUGAGUAACGCGUGGGUAACCUGCCUUGCACUGGGGGAUAACACUUAGAAAUAGGUGCUAAUACCGCAUAACAGUAGGAGACGCAUGUCUUUUACUUGAAAACUCCGGUGGUGUAAGAUGGACCCGCGUCUGAUUAGCUUGUUGGCGGGGUAACGGCCCACCAAGGCAACGAUCAGUAGCCGGCCUGAGAGGGUGAACGGCCACAUUGGGACUGAGACACGGCCCAAACUCCUACGGGAGGCAGCAGUGGGGAAUAUUGGACAAUGGGGGGAACCCUGAUCCAGCGACGCCGCGUGAGUGAAGAAGUAUUUCGGUAUGUAAAGCUCUAUCGGCAGGGAAGAAAUUGGACGGUACCUGACUAAGAAGCCCCGGCUAACUACGUGCCAGCAGCCGCGGUAAUACGUAGGGGGCAAGCGUUAUCCGGAUUCACUGGGUGUAAAGGGAGCGUAGACGGCCAUGCAAGCCUGGAGUGAAAGCCCGGGGCCCAACCCCGGGACUGCUCUGGGAACUGUGCGGCUGGAGUGCGGGAGGGGCAGGCGGAAUUCCUGGUGUAGCGGUGAAAUGCGUAGAUAUCAGGAGGAACACCGGCGGCGAAGGCGGCCUGCUGGACCGCGACUG
RNAcentral lists this ribosomal RNA (694 nucleotides) under uncultured bacterium. RNAcentral describes it as "bacterial SSU rRNA". It matches the Rfam family "Bacterial small subunit ribosomal RNA", at positions 59 to 742 of the family's 1533-position model. The record is from RNAcentral.